This 76-nucleotide transfer RNA is filed under the name Pyrinomonadaceae bacterium. RNAcentral's name for it is "tRNA-Leu". It matches the Rfam family "tRNA". From Rfam's summary of the family: Transfer RNA (tRNA) molecules are approximately 80 nucleotides in length. Their secondary structure includes four short double-helical elements and three loops (D, anti-codon, and T loops). The record is from RNAcentral. Lineage: Bacteria; Pseudomonadati; Acidobacteriota; Blastocatellia; Blastocatellales; Pyrinomonadaceae.
GCGUGUGUAGCCCAACUCGGUAGAGGCGAUUGGCUUAAACCCAAUUUAUGUAAAAGUUCAAAUCUUUUCACGCGCA